GUCGAGGGGUAUAGAGAGCUUGCUUUCUAGAGACCGGCGGAUGGGUGAGUAACGCGUAUGCAACCUACCUUUUACAGGGGAAUAGCCCGGAGAAAUUCGGAUUAAUGCUCCAUGGUUUAUAUGAAUGGCAUCGUUUNUAUAAUAAAGAUUUAUCGGUAAAAGAUGGGCAUGCGUAUCAUUAGCUAGUUGGUGUGGUAACGGCAUACCAAGGCUACGAUGAUUAGGGGUCCUGAGAGGGAGAUCCCCCACACUGGUACUGAGACACGGACCAGACUCCUACGGGAGGCAGCAGUGAGGAAUAUUGGUCAAUGGAGGCAACUCUGAACCAGCCAUGCCGCGUGCAGGAUGACGGUCCUAUGGAUUGUAAACUGCUUUUGUACGGGAAGAAAUGUAAUUACGAGUAAUUAUUUGACGGUACCGUAAGAAUAAGGAUCGGCUAACUCCGUGCCAGCAGCCGCGGUAAUACGGAGGAUCCGAGCGUUAUCCGGAAUUAUUGGGUUUAAAGGGUUCGUAGGCGGUUGAGUAAGUCAGUGGUGAAAUCUUAUAGCUUAACUAUAAAAUUGCCGUUGAUACUGCUUGACUUGAAUAGUAUGGAAGUAAUUAGAAUAUGUAGUGUAGCGGUGAAAUGCUUAGAUAUUACAUGGAAUACCAAUUGCGAAGGCAGAUUACUACGUACUUAUUGACGCUGAUGAACGAAAGCGUGGGUAGCGAACAGGAUUAGAUACCCUGGUAGUCCACGCCGUAAACGAUGGAUACUAGCUGUUCGGUUUUCGGACUGAGUGGCUAAGCGAAAGUGAUAAGUAUCCCACCUGGGGAGUACGUUCGCAAGAAUGAAACUCAAAGGAAUUGACGGGGGCCCGCACAAGCGGUGGAGCAUGUGGUUUAAUUCGAUGAUACGCGAGGAACCUUACCAAGGCUUAAAUGUAGAUUGACAGGUUU
Molecule: ribosomal RNA, 939 nt
Filed under: Myroides odoratus
Lineage: Bacteria; Pseudomonadati; Bacteroidota; Flavobacteriia; Flavobacteriales; Flavobacteriaceae
Description: bacterial SSU rRNA
Rfam family: Bacterial small subunit ribosomal RNA
Source: RNAcentral